RNAcentral lists this ribosomal RNA (484 nucleotides) under uncultured soil bacterium. RNAcentral's name for it is "bacterial SSU rRNA". It matches the Rfam family "Bacterial small subunit ribosomal RNA", at positions 26 to 509 of the family's 1533-position model. The record is from RNAcentral.
AGAUUGAACGCUGGCGGCAUGCCUUACACAUGCAAGUCGAACGGCAGCACGGGAGCAAUCCCGGUGGCGAGUGGCGAACGGGUGAGUAAUACAUCGGAACGUGCCCAAUCGUGGGGGAUAACGCAGCGAAAGCUGUGCUAAUACCGCAUAAGAUCUACGGAUGAAAGCAGGGGAUCGCAAGACCUUGCGCGAAUGGAGCGGCCGAUGGCAGAUUAGGUAGUUGGUGAGGUAAAGGCUCACCAAGCCUUCGAUCUGUAGCUGGUCUGAGAGGACGACCAGCCACACUGGGACUGAGACACGGCCCAGACUCCUACGGGAGGCAGCAGUGGGGAAUUUUGGACAAUGGGCGAAAGCCUGAUCCAGCCAUGCCGCGUGCAGGAUGAAGGCCUUCGGUUGUAAACUGCCUUUGUACGGAACGAAAGUCUCUUCUAAUAAAGAGAGAUCAUGACGUACGUAAGAAUAAGACACCGGCUAACUACGUACG